CCACGGGAGGCUGCAGUGGGGAAUUUUGCGCAAUGGGGGAAACCCUGACGCCGCAACGCCGCGUGAGUGAUGAAGGCCUUCGGGUCGUAAAGCUCUGUCAGAGGGAAAGAAGUGUAAGGCGGUUAAUACCCGUUUUACUUGACGGUACCCUCAAAGGAAGCACCGGCUAACUCCGUGCCAGCAGCCGCGGUAAUACGGAGGGUGCGAGCGUUGUUCGGAUUUAUUGGGCGUAAAGCGCGUGUAGGCGGUCUUUUAAGUCUGAUGUGAAAGCCCCGGGCUCAACCUGGGAAGUGCAUUGGAAACUGGGAGACUUGAAUACGGGAGAGGGUAGUGGAAUUCCUGGUGUAGGAGUGAAAUCCGUAGAUAUCAGGAGGAACACCGGUGGCGAAGGCGGCUGCCUGGACCGAUAUUGACGCUGAGACGCGAAAGCGUGGGGAGCAAACA
Molecule: ribosomal RNA, 444 nt
Filed under: uncultured prokaryote
Description: bacterial SSU rRNA
Rfam family: Bacterial small subunit ribosomal RNA
Source: RNAcentral